GAUGAACGCUGGCGGCGUGCCUAAUACAUGCAAGUCGAGCGAACGGACGGGAGCUUGCUUUUCUGAUGUUAGCGGCGGACGGGGGAGUAACACGUGGAUAACCUACCUAUAAGACUGGGAUAACUUCGGGAAACCGGAGCUAAUACCGGAAAAAAUUUUGAACCGCAUGGUUCAAAAGUGAAAGACGGGCUUGCUGUCACUUAAAGAUGGAACCGCGCUGCAUUAGCUAGUUGGUAAGGUAACGGCUUACCAAGGCAACGAUGCAUAGCCGACCUGAGAGGGUGAUCGGCCACACUGGAACUGAGACACGGUCCAGACUCCUACGGGAGGCAGCAGUAGGGAAUCUUCCGCAAUGGACGAAAGCCUGACGGAGCAACGCCGCGUGAGUGAUGAAGGUCUUCGGAUCGUAAAACUCUGUUAUUAGGGAAGAACAUAUGUGUAAGUAACUGUGCACAUCUUGACGGUACCUAAUCAGAAAGCCACGGCUAACUACGUG
Molecule: ribosomal RNA, 496 nt
Filed under: uncultured bacterium
Lineage: Bacteria
Description: partial 16S ribosomal RNA
Rfam family: Bacterial small subunit ribosomal RNA
Source: RNAcentral